Phyllostomus hastatus (greater spear-nosed bat) is the source of this 783-nucleotide long non-coding RNA. RefSeq lists it as uncharacterized. NCBI's taxonomy places the organism in Eukaryota, Metazoa, Chordata, Mammalia, Chiroptera, Phyllostomidae. The record is from RefSeq and is a predicted model, not a curated record. The transcript is spliced from 3 exons.
CAGCCCUGCCUGGCAUUGAUCAACCAAUUUUCCUAAAUGAAUAGCUGCACUGGAAGCUGCAGACAAAUAUCAUCAUUUGUUCAACUAAUUGUAAAAAAGUCACUAAAGAAGAAAGAAGAUUAGGAAACUAACUUCCCUCAGAGUACAGAUGAAGUGAUGAGCAGGUUUCCAUUGUGUGUGUGUGUGUGUGUGUGUGUGUGUGUGUGCAGCUGAAGACCCCGUGCUGUGAAAACAUGUCCAGGUCCCAGUACCAAAGGAGAGAGGGGAAAUCAGGAGUUGCAAUCUGGGGAGGAAGAACACACAGACUAAGAGUCUUACUCCCACUGCUUUCAAGAUAUUUCUGGCAGACAUCAUUUCUACAGGACUUACCAGAACUUUUGUAUAUUGAUCAGAUGAAACGUGGAAGAGGCUGUGAUGAAUGAUAUAAGAAGUUGACAGAAAGGAAAUGAAAGGAUGCCUUAUUAAUGAAGCCAACUCAGUCCUGCCUGCCGCUACCACAGCUUUUGCAUUGCUGACAGACUUUACACUGGUAUAAUUUUAACCUGUUAAUUGUGUCCUAAACCUUGUCGCUAACCAUCUGUGCUAAUAGUUUUUGCUCUCUGUUUCUACAUUAGAAAGUGCUAUUUUCAAAUAUCUCUUUCCUUGUAAAAUUAGAGUGUUAAAAAAAUACAUGAGUGCUUGAGCUCUGUUACCCAAAAUAUUCCCUCACAUAUCUUUCUUUGGAAGCUAUUCUUUUUCGUUGUCAACAUUCAGAUCUACUUUUAUAUUGCAAUAAAGGAAAAG